CAGCACCGCGGCAUCCAACACAGGUUCUCAAACAGAAUAUCGAUAGAUUGAGAGUGCGCUAGUCUACCCUUUCCCUCAUAUCCAUGCAGUACCGCUGACCCUCUCACGCUGUGCAGGCACACGAUUAACACACCCGCCAGCCGGAGGUGAGCACGAUGCAGACGUGGUAUCGACCCCACCCCUACGGUAUUUACCCACGCGGCAACGCCGUCAAGCGCUCUGACAUAUUCGACCGACUCGGCACCUUUUCCAUCUUCACCGCCGCAACCACGGAUGACGACAAGGAGCACACGGAGCAGCCCUACCUGGAACUCGUCCAGUGCUUUCUCGCCUUUCUCGAGGUGCCCGAUCUGUGCCGACUGUCGCGCAGCUGUACGGGCUGGUAUGUACUAGUGCAUUGCACAGAUGCCUUCAAGGCAGCGUACACAGCCUUGUCGCCGUCGUACCUGCGGUUCCGUGGCAGCUGGAAGGAAACGGCAGUGCGAGGCUACGUGGCGGUGCAUGGCGGCACGCCGAACGCGGUCCCUGCCGCUUCCAUUACGAACAGCACCCCCUCCAAGAAGAGGUCGAAGGUGGAGAGCAAACGUAUGCGGGCUACUCCGGCGCCUGCUGGUGAGACAUCUGCUGCAUUUGCACGCCACACACCGGUGUGCGUGCGCCGACGCUUCUUCUGUGAUCAGCUCUUCCAGGCAUGGAUGUGCACCAUUCUACCACCCUACUAUCACCUGCACCCCGUCGCUGAGGAGCCGCAGGAGGCGUCGCCGUCGCUCUCGUCUUCCGCAGUGCGGACCGAGAAGAGUGCGGGGCAGAACGCUGGGUCCAAGAGUCGAAAGAGGCAGCAAGUUGCGGCAUGGCCCGCGGCUGCGUCGACCUCCUCGACCGCCGAGCUGGCGGAUUCGGUGGACGCGCCUCAGAGCCGUAGCCCACGGUACAUGUCGAAGUUUCGCCCUGUCGAGCGGUGCAGCCGUAUUUCUGUCGAUGAGUUCCACGACCGCUUUGAAAAGCCGAACGUGCCAGUCGUGAUCACAGACGUGGCGACGGAGUGGCCGCUUUUCAAGAUCCUCCAAGGCCGCUUCACCAACCUAGCGGACAAGAAGGACUCCCUUGUGCGUAGCGGCUGCCCUGUGACGUCACCGUUGCGCUGCGAGCACACAAACAUGGAUCUGGAAGACUAUGUGCACUACGCAACGGAGCAGAACGACGAGCGGCCGAUAUACAUGUUCGACGCCGAGUUCGGGAGUGUGCUGGAUGCAGAGAAGCUGUACACGGUGCCACCCUACUUCGCCCGAGAUGACUUCUUCUCAGCACUUGGCGACCGCCGACCCAAGUUUCGCUGGAUCGUCGCGGGCCCGCAGCGUAGUGGCAGCAGCUUCCACGUGGACCCCAACUACACCAACGCGUGGAACGCGAACAUGACGGGUCGCAAACGGUGGCUGCUAUUCCCUCCCGGGGCGACACCGCCCGGGGUGGUGCCGAGUGCCGACAUGGCUGAGGUAGCCACCCCGGUGUCGCUGACGGAGUGGCUCUUGAACUACUACGACGCAUGCCUGCAGGAGCUGCAGCACUGCGGGUACGAGUGCAUCUGCGAGCCUGGAGACAUCAUGUUUGUGCCGUGCGGGUGGUGGCACUUCAUCAUCAACCUCGAAGAUUCCAUCGCCAUUACGCAGAACUACGUCUCGCGGUGCAACUUGCCAAAGGUGAUCAAAUUCUUGCGCGCCAUGAAGGGGUCCAUCAGCGGCAUUGACGAGGAUGCCGACACGGCGACGGAGGAGUCUACAGAAAGGCGGCAGCGCGGCUUUGCGAAAGAGUUUGAGGCCGCCAUGAAGGCGGCGCACCCGGCUCUGAUGCAGGACGUGGCGCGGCAACUUGAGGAGGAGCAUCAGGCACGGGAGAAACGCCGGCUUGGCCGCUUGACGCUGCUAGACCCGUCCUCAGGGGGCUUCACCUUUAGCUUCUAGGCCACACAGGGCAGCAAAGUUUGGCGCGAGAGUGGGUGAGUGGGUGCCAGGUAGCCCCCAAGCCUGUGCCUGUACAGUGACGGUGAGAGUGUGGAGGCGGCAUCAUCACCGGCGCCGACUGCCACGCUCCUGUCCCCUCACUGGUGCCCCACAGAGGCACAAUCAUCCAUCAACACAAUAGCAGUGCCCCCGCCCACUGCCCCCUUUUCCCCAGCAUGCACACCCACAGCGAGUAAGCAGGAGAGAAUCAUGCCAUCGAGUCCUGCGGGAGGGGGACACUCGCAAACGCAUGAACCCCUCCUUUGGUGAAGGGGCCCAACGGCACGCCAAUGCACCUCGCCACGCUGUGUGCGCCUUCUUUUACCCCGUGACAGCUCUUGCCUAACACCGUAUAAUCAGUAUAACGACCGCUGCGUAUUCGUUCGUAACUAGCGGAACCAACUCCCCAGCAGGCCGUACAUGUAUGUGUGCGCAUGUGCCAUGCAUGGGGCGUACGGCUAUUCAUGGCAAGCCCGGCUAAACAUCUACACGAAAAGUCGUGCGCAUCAGCUCCGACCACCACGAAG
Molecule: unclassified non-coding RNA, 2524 nt
Filed under: Leishmania donovani
Lineage: Eukaryota; Euglenozoa; Kinetoplastea; Trypanosomatida; Trypanosomatidae
Description: gene:LdHU3.27.1920(CDS-product:Cupin-like_domain/ JmjC_domain_hydroxylase_putative)
Source: RNAcentral